GUCUUCCUUGCACUCACAAAAUCAUGAGGAAAAGGGAUAUAUGGAAUGAAUAAUGAGUUUCUCGAUAAAAGAAAUGUAACAUGAGUUGUUAAAUUCCAUUCCUAUUUAGGAGAAUGAUAUCAGUGUAAACUUAGAUGAAAGCUUUAAUUUUUGGAAAAUUACCAAAAUAUCAUUUGACCAAAACAUUUUUCAUAAAUGUCACCCUCCUACGUCGGUGGAGAGGAGGGUGCCAAAUUUGAAAAGUGGUUUGGUCAAGCGACAUUUUCUUUAUUUUCCCUUAAUUUUUUCCUUCAAUUAUAGAUGUUGAUAUAGUUGUUGAUCGAGCAGUAUUUGUAGGUCGGCGGCAGUGGCGGAUGUAGCUUAUACAAGGGGGCAACGCCCGCUACGGCUUGGCACGGAAAAAUUUGGAAAAAUUAAUGUAAAUUUCGGAAAAAUUUGACGUUUUUUCGAUUUCGUUACGACUUAUAUAUAAAACGUUACGGCUACGAUCCGUUUCUAGAUCCGCCACUGGUCGGCGGGUUGAACCCGAAAUGCAUCCGAAAAUCAUAACACCUAUGAACCAGAAUACAACAUGUAUUCAUGGACAGUGACAGAUCUAGGAAUUUUUUCCGAUUGAUUCUUUUUGAUAGAUUCUCACUUUUUUUUAAAUAAAUUAUACAAGGUUUUCACUAAUUUUUUCUAUCUUUUUCAAACCGAGUAGGUUUUAAAGAACCCAAAAAACAAGGUUGGAUCCAGUCUUGCUCACAGACAACACAACCCGUCUGACUCAAGAAAAAAAGUUAGUUACUUUUCUUUACAUAUAAAUACUUUAAAAUUCUGAAUUUACAUAUUACUUUUCUUUUUUAUAAAUACUUAUGUUUAUUUUAGCACUAUCCUAUGCCAUUUUAAACUUUUAUAUUAUACUAAACACAUUAUAAAAAUAGGGUGGUGAUCUUGACCAUCCAUUAAGUUAAUCAAGGGGCUAAGAUUAAAUUAGGGAAAUUGAAAGGAAGAAAAGAGGCGCGUGAGUUUGUUCAAGGGCAUUCUAGUCAAUCCAAGCCAAUAGUUUCUCUCUCCUCCAAUUCACCCCCAUUUUUUUGAACGUUAAUAACUCUUUCAUACGACAUUAUUUUUUUAUAAAAAUUGCACAAAAAAACGAGCGUUUUUUUAUCUUUAAAACGAGUAUACUAUUGCUAUAUUUUAAAA
Molecule: long non-coding RNA, 1185 nt
Filed under: Helianthus annuus (common sunflower)
Lineage: Eukaryota; Viridiplantae; Streptophyta; Magnoliopsida; Asterales; Asteraceae
Description: hypothetical non coding rna
Source: RNAcentral